UACGUAGGGCGCAAGCGUUGUCCGGAAUUAUUGGGCGUAAAGAGCUCGUAGGCGGUUUGUCGCGUCUGCCGUGAAAACCCGAGGCUUAACCUCGUGGCUUGCGGUGGAUACGGGCAGACUAGAGGUAGGUAGGGGAGAAUGGAAUUCCCGGUGUAGCGGUGAAAUGCGCAGAUAUCGGGAGGAACACCAAUAGCGAAGGCAGCUCGCUGGGACGGUACUGACGCUAAGGCGCGAAAGCGUGGGGAGCGAACAGG
RNAcentral lists this ribosomal RNA (254 nucleotides) under uncultured bacterium. RNAcentral's name for it is "partial 16S ribosomal RNA". It matches the Rfam family "Bacterial small subunit ribosomal RNA", at positions 524 to 776 of the family's 1533-position model. The record is from RNAcentral.